Marmota monax (woodchuck) is the source of this 4840-nucleotide long non-coding RNA. RefSeq lists it as uncharacterized. The record is from RefSeq and is a predicted model, not a curated record. Lineage: Eukaryota; Metazoa; Chordata; Mammalia; Rodentia; Sciuridae. The transcript has 3 exons.
UGCACACGGCCUGGAGGCCCAUGUUCCUGAAAUUGCGGCUUUGAUCUAAUCCGAAUAAGUUAGAAUGCUGUCAUCUAGAAGUUAAGCGUCACCUUGACCCUUCUUCAGCCUCGCACACCCAGGAGGACUGGAACUCCGUUUCAGAUGACUCCCAUCUCCCAGAGCACUUAGCAGGAUACUGGGGAGCCACAGUGCCUUGGCCUGCUGUCACCUGCCCAGAAGUAAUAAAAAGGUUCUGGCUGCCAUGUGAAGACCAUCGAAGCUUAGGGUCCUCUUACAUCAUUGCAUGGCCCAGUAAUACUGUAUCUGUGACCCCAUUUCUGCCAAGAAAAGAAAAAAAAAGACUAGCGUGCUCCACUUGAAUGACACAAUGAAUCAUCCAAGGCAUCUUUUCCUGCCAGUUUUUAUCCACUUUUUCCUACAAGUCUCUCUCAUUUGGCUUUUUUGUUAUAUAUUUAGCAUCCUUGGUGAACCUAUCAGCUGGGACAGAAGAGGCUAUUUCUCUCCAGCAAUGUAGGGCAAGAGCAAAAGUUUAUCUUCGCAUUUUUAAAGGUAGCAGUUCACUGUGUUUGGGAAGAGCUAUAUUUUCCACCAAACAUGAUUACCACAGAAAGAGUUGUAUUAAACUGCUGAUAUGUCACAAGUCCCUCACUUCGGAACGGUAUUAGGAUUAGCAACCCUGAGGUUGUCAUGCGGUAAUUAAGGGACUGUGAAAUGUUAUAUAAAGGCUCACAGCUGGCUGUUCGAGACAGCAAAAUUGAAAGGCAGAUUGCUAUCACCAGGGGAGAUCAACUCGUCUAGGUCUGAAAUAUGAAGCCCUGGUGCUCACUGGAAAAGCUGCAAGUAUGUCAAGAGUUAAUUUCUGGCCAUUGUGUGACCCUCCUGGUUUUCCUGUGGAGGGUCGCAGUUCUGAAAGAAUACCAUUAUCACCUUGGACAGGGAUGGUGCGCGAGUUUCUGCCAAGAUAUGAAAUAAAUUUGUACUGCUGGUUCGAGUUCUUUUGUGCUCACACCUUCUCAAUCACUGGCUCUUAUGGAGGAAAUAAAGACAGCAUUCAGAAGACAAAAGUUCUCUGUCCCCCAGUCCACUGGCUUACCACAGCCCUCGGAGAAACGGGAAGUCGAGCUGCUUAGGAAGCUAUUACCAUUCUACUCGGGAUUUCCUGCUGUUCUCAUUGUCAUUGAAUCCCUGAUAGUGUUAUUUAGAAAUAAGGGAUAAUCGCUAUCGGUAUAUUGUGUAUGAGACAGAAAACGGUUUCUGAGAUAGACUAAUAGCCAAAGCCAAACGAAAUCGUUUAAUCCAUCUCCAAAGCUGUUUGUUGAGAGUCUACUACAAAGCUAUAAAAUCAUUACUAUUAUAGAGCACAUCAUAAAUGAGAAGUUUCUCUCCCUGGAGAGGGCACAGACUGAUUCCAUUAUGCUAACUCUAUCUAGCACUUUCUGGGUAUACCGCGCCAGGCAUCAGAAUAAGAUGAAUAUCAGUUAGUCUCCGAGUAAAUAUGAUCAUUUUCACUGAGUAACACUUCCCUGCCAGAAAACCUCUAAAGUGUAGAAUUUUCCUGACUUUUGAUCAUUAGUUUUCCCAGCAGCCGAGCAUCAACCCAACACUUUUUCUGAAAUGGUGGAGGUCUAGGGUGCAAUUGGGCCGUUGAUUGGAAGGCUUGGCUUCUAAGUCCAACAAUACCGGGCUACCAUCAACUUAACCACUGAAAAUCACUUUGCUGUUCCAAUUCUUGACAUAUCUGUUUUAAAGUAAUGACAACUUAUAAAACAAUGUUUUCAGUUCUAAGUAAGCCUUAGUAACUUCUAUAGUUAUAGGAGUAAAAUUAUUUAUGUCUAUGGACUCUAAAACCAUCUCUGAAUAAUCCACCUCCUGCAAUGUUUAGUGUAGAACCUUCCACAAUUAGGCGCUCAGUAAGUGCUUUUUAAGGAGAAGAAGGGUAAAAAUCCAUUGCUAUGACAAAUUCCACCAGAGUAUCUGAAACCACCUUAAAACUACUAUGUGUAAACCAGUAGCUUGGGUUCAAAUAUAUAUUUAAGAUUUGAGAGAAUAUUUGUUUUAAACCUUUUUUCAAACUCUAUCUAAAAAUAUGAAUCUAGUCAUGAAACACUAAACUCCAUUCUUUCCCUAAAAGCAGUUCCAUUCCAUUCUAAUGUCUUUACUAUUGUGAGGAAGAGUAAGUUAGAAAGUGAUAGCAUAAAAGAGGGGUGACAGAUAAGUUUCAUCUCACAUGCCAGCUGUUAAAACAACAAUGCCCACCUGCAGGUUGGGGUAAAGAAACAGCCUGAGUGUCUGGAUUAUUGAAAGGUGUUUUCUUAUGGGUUUAAGAAGGAGCAAGGGGGUCUAUUUAUAUGAGGUUGCACAGAAAGUAUGUAGUUUGAGGAAUCAUAGGCACUCUAAGGGUUAAGUUUGAUUCAGACUAUAGAGAAUAUAAUGAAAGACCUAGAAUCUCCUUAAAAAUACUUCAUAGACAGUGACUGAACGCCAUGUUUACACAUGCUUGUAUGUGCGCACGCACACACACAUCACACUCCCACAUAUUAUUUUAAUGUACUAAGGUAGUGGUUAAAGACUUUGACACUACAGUGAUUGAGGAAUAAGGUCUGUGUUUGCUGCCCCUAAAUCCGGGUGUGUCCUUGAAGUUCAAAACGGAGAUACAGACAAUGCAGUAGUUUGAUGGUUAAGGGUUCAGGUCCUGGAUUCCAGUUUCUGAUCUGUUUUACUUUGAGCAAGUUUUUAACCAUCUCAAUGCUUCUGUUCUCUCACCUAUAAAGUGAUUAUAUAAAAGUUUACAGGGAGAUUUAAAUGAAAUAAUAUGUGUGUAGUGCUUAAAUUAGGGUCUGGCACUCAGCAAAUGCUCAAUGAGCACAUUAAUAUUAUUAUCCCAAGAGGAUCAAGCCCAAGUGCUUUGGGAACAAAGAGAGGGACAUGCAUCCAAGACGAUAAAGAGCCAGAAAAGACUUCAUGGGAGAUGCAACUUUUAACCUGAGACAAACCAGGGAAGGAGGAAUUGUCUUAGGAAGCACUACCUUGGGGAAAAGGAGGCAAGAGAGAGCCUGACAAGGUGCUGGACUUGACUCCAAAGCCUAUGGUGUCAUUUAGUCAUUAUUCAAUUCCUCAUGCAUUCACAUGUCAUUGACUUUCUAAAUUCUAGUUCCUACGUCCCAGGCUUUCAAUCAUUUUUCAUCAUUUACUCUAACUCUUCUCCAAAUGUCAACUACUCCCUUCCCUAGACAAAGAGACUAGGCUGUUCCCAGCAUCCUAAUACAAGUCCAGCAAGUCUCCUUCUCUUACCCUGUGGUCUGCUGUGGCCUCCAGAACCCAGGACCCGGUCACUCUCUGGGCUUUUGCACUGGUAUUUGGAAGUCAUUUAACCUUGCUAGCCUGGUAGGGGUCAGUCCUUGGCAAGUGAUGACCUCAUCCUGACACUAGGCAAACAUUUGGGAAUAGAAACAGAAUGGUUCAUUUAAUAGCUUAAAAGUCCUGCGGAGGCCUGUGUGCAUGAAAACUGCUAAAAACAAGGUAAUAUUCAGCCUGAGGGGCUAGAUCACUUGUCAAAGCAACAAAUGCUUUUUUUAUAGAAUGGCUACCAGCCAGAUUCUUUGAUACUGCUCCUAAGAGGACCAAAGAUGAGGAGGAGGGAAUUUCAAGUGAUAGGGAUGCUGUGAGGGCAAAAGCCACACAUUUCAACCCAAAUCACCAAACAUGUGCUUUCAAAAAUAAAUCUUUCCUCAGUGUGCAGGGGGCGGCAAGAGACCUUGCAACUGAGGUAACUGUCGACUUCUGGUCCUCUUACCCAUUGUACAAAAGGAUGAGCGCCGGGGUGAGGCCCCAGGGCCUUCCUAGUGCUCAGGGAGUAGAAUCUGUGCAAGAAUUUCACAUCUGAGCCAAAUGGGUGGAGCCAGUUUGGCUUCUGGAAUGCUCCACAUAGGGAAAAAGCUGUUCAAGACAGAAUUAAAUGCAGGUCACCCAGGGAGUUUGGAGCUGUGCAGACUUGAGUGAAUCACAAUCCGAAACAAGGAUUAAGUUGUUUAAUUUUGAAUAGUUUUCUCCUAAUUUUCUCAAAUAAAUGUCAUUUCUAGUGAUCCCUGCUCCGAACAUUAAUAUAAUAAGCACGCUGGCUAAUAGAAUUCGUAGUAGUAAUGGAAUCUUUCAGCAGCAAGUGUAUCUAAAUAUCCAUUUCAGAAAAUAGCAUUUGUUAAAAUGUAAAAAUGGAUAAGAAGAACAAAAGAAAAAUAUUGCUUUUGGGUUGUGUUUGAUGGCUUUUUUUCAUUAAGCCUACUACUUAUAAUGAUAAAACGGUCCUUGGGAAUUAAUACUCUCAGAAUUCGUAAAGCAUCCUUUCAGAGUCUAAAACUGCCACCUUGCCGUUGUGAUCUUAGGAAGUAAGGCAGUGGCAAUGCUGUUUACAAGGGGAACAACCCUCCUAGUGUCCUAAAAUAGACAGGUUCCAAGUUACCUGGAGAGACUAGAAAAUUAGAAGCCGGGCCCACUUCUUUACUUGCGACAAAGUUAAUUUUAUUAAGUGAUUGUGGGAAAAUGCAUAUUGCUGCCCGUUGUUGAGAGAGAAGACACGAGAGGGACCAGCAGAGCCUUCUAAACCAGCACCCUUUAUUAAGGAAAGAGCAUCACAAUGGAAUUUCUGCUUUUCUUUUCAAAAAACAUUUAUUCUGAAGACCAGUAACAGAAAUGAGGUGAAAAAUCAUAAAGAAAAUACUAGCCAUAUGAACAUAAUGAAUCAUCAGAGAUUGAGAAAUUCAUUAGUGCCCAUGAAAUAAAAAUUAAUAAGACCAGAGGCCUGCCCUGUUUUAUUAAGUGCAAAGUUUUAGUUUGGGUGCUG